This 464-nucleotide ribosomal RNA is filed under the name Vreelandella stevensii. RNAcentral's name for it is "partial 16S ribosomal RNA". It matches the Rfam family "Bacterial small subunit ribosomal RNA", at positions 338 to 795 of the family's 1533-position model. Lineage: Bacteria; Pseudomonadati; Pseudomonadota; Gammaproteobacteria; Oceanospirillales; Halomonadaceae. The record is from RNAcentral.
CCUACGGGGGGCUGCAGUGGGGAAUAUUGGACAAUGGGGGCAACCCUGAUCCAGCCAUGCCGCGUGUGUGAAGAAGGCCCUCGGGUUGUAAAGCACUUUCAGUGAGGAAGAACGCCUGGUGGUUAAUACCCAUCAGGAAAGACAUCACUCACAGAAGAAGCACCGGCUAACUCCGUGCCAGCAGCCGCGGUAAUACGGAGGGUGCGAGCGUUAAUCGGAAUUACUGGGCGUAAAGCGCGCGUAGGUGGCUUGAUAAGCCGGUUGUGAAAGCCCCGGGCUCAACCUGGGAACGGCAUCCGGAACUGUCAAGCUAGAGUGCAGGAGAGGAAGGUAGAAUUCCCGGUGUAGCGGUGAAAUGCGUAGAGAUCGGGAGGAAUACCAGUGGCGAAGGCGGCCUUCUGGACUGACACUGACACUGAGGUGCGAAAGCGUGGGUAGCAAACAGGAUUAGAUCCCGAGUAGUC